GUGCUCACUUCAGCAGCACAUAUACUAAAAUUGGAACAAUAUAGAGAAGAUUAGUAUGGCCCCUCUACAGGGAUGACACACAAAUUUAUGAAGUAUUACAUAUUUUU
This is a small nuclear RNA of Cavia aperea (Brazilian guinea pig), 107 nucleotides long. Lineage: Eukaryota; Metazoa; Chordata; Mammalia; Rodentia; Caviidae. The record is from Ensembl.